Molecule: small nuclear RNA, 93 nt
Filed under: Erinaceus europaeus (western European hedgehog)
Lineage: Eukaryota; Metazoa; Chordata; Mammalia; Eulipotyphla; Erinaceidae
Source: RNAcentral
UUGCUUCAGCAGCACAUAUACUAAAAUUGGAAACGAUUAGCACGGCUCUUGAGCAAAGCUAACACACCAAUCUGUGAAGUUUUCUUUUUUUUA